This is a non-coding RNA of Mycena vulgaris, 84 nucleotides long. NCBI's taxonomy places the organism in Eukaryota, Fungi, Basidiomycota, Agaricomycetes, Agaricales, Mycenaceae. The record is from the annotation of a GenBank genome assembly.
GGUUGUAUAGUCUAGAGGUAUUUUGUCACUCCUCCAAUUUUCUAUAUUCGCGCGAGGUCGCUAGUUCAAUCCCGGCUGCGAACA